GACAGAGGUCCCGAGCGUUAGGCGGAAUUACUGGGCGUAAAGGGCGAGUAGGCGGUUCUACAAGUCAGAUGUGAAAUCUCCCGGCUUAACUGGGAGGGGUCAUUUGAAACUGUCGGACUAGAGUGAAGCAGAGGCUAGCGGAAUUCCCGGUGUAGUGGUGAAAUGCGUAGAUAUCUGGAGGAACACCGGUGGCGAAGGCGGCAUCCUGGACCGGCAUUGACGCUGAGGCGCGAAAGCCAGGGGAGCAAACGGG
RNAcentral lists this ribosomal RNA (253 nucleotides) under uncultured bacterium. RNAcentral's name for it is "partial 16S ribosomal RNA". It matches the Rfam family "Bacterial small subunit ribosomal RNA", at positions 524 to 776 of the family's 1533-position model. The record is from RNAcentral.